Molecule: ribosomal RNA, 195 nt
Filed under: uncultured bacterium
Lineage: Bacteria
Description: partial 16S ribosomal RNA
Rfam family: Bacterial small subunit ribosomal RNA
Source: RNAcentral
UGGGCAACCUGCCCUCAGCUCUGGGAUAACUCCAAGAAAUUGGGGCUAAUACCGGAUAUGACUGCUGACCGCAUGGUCUGGUGGUGGAAAGAUUUAUCGGCUGGGGAUGGGCCCGCGGCCUAUCAGCUUGUUGGUGGGGUAGUGGCCUACCAAGGCGACGACGGGUAGUCGGCCUGAGAGGGUGACCGCGACCAC